UGCCAGCCGCCGCGGUAAUACGGAGGGUGCGAGCGUUAAUCGGAAUUACUGGGCGUAAAGCGUACGUAGGUGGUUUGGUAAGUCGGAUGUGAAAUCCCUGGGCUUAACCUGGGAAUUGCAUUCGAAACUGCCUCACUAGAGUCUAGCAGAGGGAUGCGGAAUUCCGGGUGUAGCGGUGAAAUGCGUAGAGAUCCGGAGGAACAUCAGUGGCGAAGGCGGCAUCCUGGGCUAAGACUGACACUGAGGUACGAAAGCGUGGGGAGCAAACAGGAUUAGAUA
This 279-nucleotide ribosomal RNA is filed under the name uncultured bacterium. Its description in RNAcentral is "partial 16S ribosomal RNA". It matches the Rfam family "Bacterial small subunit ribosomal RNA", at positions 506 to 784 of the family's 1533-position model. The record is from RNAcentral.